This 468-nucleotide ribosomal RNA is filed under the name uncultured bacterium. RNAcentral's name for it is "partial 16S ribosomal RNA". It matches the Rfam family "Bacterial small subunit ribosomal RNA", at positions 28 to 507 of the family's 1533-position model. The record is from RNAcentral.
GACGAACGCUGGCGGCGUGCUUAACACAUGCAAGUCGAACGGAAAGGCCCUGCUUUUGUGGGGUGCUCGAGUGGCGAACGGGUGAGUAACACGUGAGUAACCUGCCCUUGACUUUGGGAUAACUUCAGGAAACUGGGGCUAAUACCGGAUAGGAGCUCCUGCUGCAUGGUGGGGGUUGGAAAGUUUCGGCGGUUGGGGAUGGACUCGCGGCUUAUCAGCUUGUUGGUGGGGUAGUGGCUUACCAAGGGUUUGACGGGUAGCCGGCCUGAGAGGGUGACCGGCCACAUGGGGACUGAGAGACGGACCAGAGUCCUACGGGAGGCAGCAGUGGGGAAUAUUGCACAAUGGGCGGAAGCCUGAUGCAGCAACGCCGCGUGCGGGAUGACGGCCUUCGGGUUGUAAACCGCUUUCGCCUGUGACGAAGCGUGAGUGACGGUAAUGGGUAAAGAAGCACCGGCUAACUACGUG